AUGAUGUAUUUGGGAGGCAGUGAAGCUAUGUUAGACAUUGACAGAGAUAAGCUUUCUUUGCCCGAACUUUUGGGGCAUUUAAGAGAUCAUUGCACUGAUGUGGAGGGGAUACAAUGUCAGUUUUAUUGGUUAGUUCCAGGAAAAGAGAUGAAUGAUGGACUUGUUUUUCUGCAUGAUGACAACACUGUUCUUAAGAUGGCUGAGUUUGUUUGUGAUGGAGGAGUUGCAUAUGUGUAUGUUGAGAAGCAUGCUCCUGCUGAUGGGGAAGAAACAGUUGCAACAGCAUGCUCUGCUGGAGAGGAAGAGGAACAGUUCACCCCUUUAAGUGUAGUUAUGCGAUAA
RNAcentral lists this ribosomal RNA (342 nucleotides) under Triticum aestivum (bread wheat). RNAcentral's name for it is "partial small subunit ribosomal RNA". The record is from RNAcentral. Lineage: Eukaryota; Viridiplantae; Streptophyta; Magnoliopsida; Poales; Poaceae.